This 324-nucleotide ribosomal RNA is filed under the name uncultured Ehrlichia sp. Its description in RNAcentral is "bacterial SSU rRNA". It matches the Rfam family "Bacterial small subunit ribosomal RNA", at positions 93 to 435 of the family's 1533-position model. Lineage: Bacteria; Pseudomonadati; Pseudomonadota; Alphaproteobacteria; Rickettsiales; Anaplasmataceae. The record is from RNAcentral.
UAGUGGCAGACGGGUGAGUAAUGCAUAGGAAUCUACCUAGUAGUAUGGGAUAGCCACUAGAAAUGGUGGGUAAUACUGUAUAAUCCCUGCGGGGGAAAGAUUUAUCGCUAUUAGAUGAGCCUACGUUAGAUUAGCUAGUUGGUGAGGUAAAGGCUUACCAAGGCUAUGAUCUAUAGCUGGUCUGAGAGGACGAUCAGCCACACUGGAACUGAGAUACGGUCCAGACUCCUACGGGAGGCAGCAGUGGGGAAUAUUGGACAAUGGGCGAAAGCCUGAUCCAGCUAUGCCGCGUGAGUGAAGAAGGCAUUCGGUUGAAAAUCUUCA